Molecule: long non-coding RNA, 12950 nt
Organism: Nothobranchius furzeri (turquoise killifish)
Lineage: Eukaryota; Metazoa; Chordata; Actinopteri; Cyprinodontiformes; Nothobranchiidae
Source: RefSeq, a predicted model, not a curated record
UUUUCCUCUGCGUUUGAGUGUUUGUACGUGUGUGCGUGUGCGUGUGUGUGUGUGUGUGUGUGUGUGUGUGUGUGUGUGUGUGUGAACCUAUGGUAUGAGUUGUUUCUGCCAGUUGAAUCUCUUGGAACCCGCUCCAAUUCUGCAGCUGUAUCCUAGCAGUUUCUUCCUAAAUGGGUACGUAAAUAACCAUGUUUUUCGGGGGUCGUACAGCUCCUUGUGUUUCUCAACUUCCAUAAUCAAUUUAAAGUCAUCCAUCUUAACUGCUUGCCUCAGACCUUCUGCCUCUCUGUCCUGUUUGCUCCAGUGAAAAGACACCCAAAACCACACACCCCUUCACAUGGUCACACAUGCACACAAGUUCGAUGUGUGUGUAUGUGUGUGCGUGUUCGUGUGGUUUUUCUGCAGUGUCUGUUUACGAGUACAUUUGACUAUUGUAGAAUUUUAUUUUGAAAUGCUUUAUUUUGUUAACUUUACCGGCCUGCCUCUUAUGUCUAGGUUUGACUUCCUGCCAGAAUUGACGCGAUUCACCUGCGGCUCGCGAAAAAAAUUGAGCCGACGCCGAAAUGAUCGCUGCACGGCGCGGGCUGGAGCGCCGGCGCGAGGCGAUUAGCGGCGCUUCGGCGGCCCAUGUGUUCUAUAGAAUUGCUUAACAAGGGCGCCGAAUGAAGGCGGUCCCAUUUUCGCGGCGCUUCGCGGCGCUUCCGCGACCAGUGUGUCCCAGGCGUGAGUCUUGCUCAGGCCAGUCGGCGCGCUGUCCUGAAAAAAAUAAACAUGUUGGCCUUUCAUUUGAUGAAAAAGUAUUAAGUUGCAAUUUCAAACUAAAUUAUGCUUAUUAGUAUUUAGAUUUUUUACUUUAAUCCAAUGUUAUUGACAGCAGGACACACAAAGUGAAAUUUUCUAUUUAGAAUGAAGCACUUCAAUUAGCUUGAGUCCAGUUUGCACACGCACGUUCUUCAGGGUUCUGGCGGACCUUUUUCGCAUCCUAGUCAGAGCGUCCAUUUUAGAAUCACGUCCACGUGGAAAGGGGUAAGAGCAAAUGAACAAAAUAUGUAUUUUAACUGAUGUUAGUACACCGAAUUUUUAUCCGAUAUUAUUUCAUCAUAUCUCAUGAAUGGACGUACUUUCCAGCCAACAAGCAAGUUACUAAACAGAGAUACCGUAAAACGUUCGGAGGAUUCGGCUCACUUGACUGCAGUGAAGGAGAAGCUUCUGAAGAAAGGUAAGAUUUAAGCUAAUACAAAGAGACUUGUUAAAACAAAGUCGGCAACAGCUUAUAACUUAAGUAAAGGUUGUGCUUGUUAUUUUACAGAUCAAUGCUGAGUUCCUGCGAGUUACAGCAGUUCCGUUGGAGGCAACAUUUUUGGCACCGCUGGACAAACAUUCUACCAAACUGCAAUAGGUCAUCAGGAGCAAGGGAGGACGUGUGAAAGAGCAGACCACUGGGAUCUUGGAAGUUUUAGAUGAGACUGUUGACAUCACCAUGAAAAGAGAGGCUGUACUCAAAUCUCUGAGCUACCUGGGUGAACCUGUUGAGAACCUUGUUAAAGAAUGCCAGGAUGUGCAGGAGAAUGUCCAACACCAACUGGAAACCAUGGCAAUGUUCGUCAUCAGGAAAGAGGAUCCUUUUUAUCCACCGAAAGACAAAACGAUAGUCAUCGAUGGAGCACAGUCCUGACAGAUGUGUCUUCUGUUGCAACAGCUGUUGCCAUAUUCUUUGGACUGAUAUACGCCCUCACCUUAAAGUAUCCAAAAUAUCUGGUCUGGAAUUCAUACAGAAGGUUCUGAUGGAGCUCGUUGACAAAAAGAUGUCUUCAAAACUUCACAAGCUGAGCACUCUGGUUUAGAGAUGUUGAACUCCGCUUUGAGUCUUCCAUUGUUGCAUCUAUAAAAAAAAGGACUUUAGAUCCUUUCGUGAUGUUUGUUCUGCUAUUGCUGUCGCAAAAAAAUAAAAAAUAAAAAAGACUCAAGUACAGAGACUAUUGUUCAAUACUUUGUUAAAAACUUAAGGAGCAAUCCAAAACCUAAUGCAGUGUUUUUACUCAGCCAAAGAAAGGAUCGCUUGCAUUUGAAAGUUCUGGAACUGACAGUCACUAAUGUACCUGGUAACAUUUUACCCUGAUUUAGUUGAAAAUGAGACAAUAGUUGAUUUAGUUUUAUGAACAUUUUAGUAUUAUUUUUAGGUAAUAUUUGUUGCCAGAUUUAAUUCAACAAUUUUUUAUUUCAUUGAAUCAUUUGUUUGAUUUUCUGAGUGAAUAGUUUGGUUCAAUUCAGCAGGAUUGAUCUGGACAAAAUGUAAACAUCUCAAUGAUUCUGAUUGCUAAUACUAUAUCUUUCAUAAUACAAAAUUACAGUGCUGUUAAAAAAAUGCAUGUUAAAAAAAUCUAGGGGCAUUGUUUUGGCUUACAUGUUCUUUCAACAAUAAAUGUUUAUAGACAAAAAAUGUGCUGCUGGGUGUAAAUCAAUGCAAGUGUAAAAGGAAUCUCAUAUUUACAAUACAAUCACAAUUAUUUAUUUGAUACAAUUUAAAAAAGUUACAUUUGCUCAAACAUUCAGAAUUAGUUUCUAUCAAUUUUAAAAUAUCAGGUAAAAAAUACAACUUAAUUUUUUUUGAUUUGAAGGAACUUGAUAUUAUUGAUUUGCCUUGACUACAAACAUUAGUUUACAUGAAAUUAAAAUGUUGAGGUUACAAAAACUUAAUUUUGUUACAUCAAGUUAAUGCUAAAAUAUUAGGUGUGACCCAUUACUUCAAAAAUUUUAAGUUAAGGCAGUGUUAAAUUUCUUUCAGUAUACUCACACACAAACAUUUGCAUAUACGCUCAUUCAGUCAUGAAUGCUCACACGGGGCUGUUGUACUCUGAAACUCAGGAUGGGAACAGAAAAAAAAAACAAAAAACAAAACCACAUUUACUAUGACGUCGGUGCCGUUGUUGCUCCAACCUAUUUCCAGGAGAGCCAGCCUCCCUCACAGGAACUGGCCUGUCUGAAUGUUUUAUCUCGAGUAGAAUAGCUCACAUCAAACUCAUUCUUCUACUAGGAGCUUUCUCUCUAUGCUCGUGUGGUUUUGCAAACAGUGUGUUCAGAUACAGACUUAGUGUUGUAAAAAUUAAAACACUUAUCUUAUUGUGUGCUAUUGGCUUCUGGGCUAACCUUGACUUUCUCUUAACACAUCAAUGGAUUUUGAGUCAAUAGUAGCUUUAAUGAACAAUCUAAACAAUACUAAGAAUCUGGUUUGAGUUCAGAAUGUUUGUGUUGAUGCAAAACUUAAUAAACAAAUGAAAUAAGCGAAUUAAUAAUAAUGAUUUAUCCCUUUUAACGUGUCACAUCUCGGAGCAGGACAUAACAUUAUUUGUUAUUUAUGUAUUUAACCCUCCCACUCUCCUAAUGGGUGUGACCCUGCAAGGAAAGUUGACCAUUGAGCAGGAUUGAUGGUUUAUCCCUUGGGUCCAUGUGGCAGGGGUGAGGAGUGAGCACCAACUCACCCCUGCCACGUGGACCUCAAGGAAUAAACCAUUAAUCCUGCUCAAUGGUCAUCUUUCCUCACGGGGUCACUCAUAAAGACAGUGGGAGGGUUAUCUUGUUAAAGAGGACAUGUUAUGCAAAACCAUGUGGGGAGCUACUGCCUCUACACUCCAAACGUGACAAAAACAACCAUUUUCUGUUAGCAUUUGGUUUUAAGAAUUAUGUGCGUAAAACAAGCUGAUUCAGAAGGUCCCCAUUUGUGGUGUCACAAACAAGUAAAGUAGAAUUGUACCACCUCUCGCCUGUCGAGUCUGGAGGAACGAUAAUUUGAGACCCUCCUUCUCAGCUUGUAGCAUCCAAUAACGGGAGUAGGUGGACGUGGCCAGAACCAGUUUGUUUUUUCAAAUGCCAGUACACACACACACACACACACACACACACACACACACACACACACACACACACACACACACACACACACACACACACACACACACACACACACACACACACCUGCUGAACUCAACUUUAUCUCUGUGGAUCCUUUGGACUUCCUCACCUGUACCCUGUGCUUAUUGAUCCUGUUAUAAACACGACGCUAAGCAGCUGCUCAAUUAUUCACUCUGGUUAAAUAGAGCUGUUCCAUUAUUCAGAAGUGUGGCAUGGUGUAAUUAAUAAUGUAGAGAUAUGUGACAGGCUGGGUGGCAUUUCACAAAGUGACAGCACAUAAUUUGCUCUCCACCUUCACCCACUCUCCGUCUUUGUCAUCGCCGCCCUUCGUGUUUCUGGUACACCACGUUGGAGAUGGAUCUUCACCUUCACCUGAACAUCUACCUGCAUCACUUUUUCAGUUAGUUUUUUCUUAAUUUCUCUUUUAACUCAUCAACUCUUCUCAGCUGAUGGUUGACAAACACUCUGAGACAAACUCUGGACACCUGAAGGGUUCCUGACUAAGCAUGCGUGGACUUGUAGACUUUAUAAAGUUUGAUGUCUUUGUGAAUAUGACGUGCAUGAGAUAUCUUUAUUCGUUAUCCAUUUUGGAGUUGCAAAGAAAUCCCACAAAUCUCAAAUUCUGCAGUGGCUUUUUUUUCAAAUCAUUCCAUGAUGGAGAGAUUAGAAUUUGUCGUAGUUCACUCAGUUUUGACCGGACUCUUGCCCUUUCAAUUCCUUCAGAGCACAAGUAUAAAUAAAGACUUGGUUGAACCUUUUCCUUUUAUUGUUUUCAUCUGUUUUACAUCUUUCUUUUUUUCUGUUAAACAUUUUCCGUGUCUUUUUAAAUUGGAUUUGACUUAUUUAAUUAUAUCGUAUGACGUUCAGAAGUGCCUGGCAACCGCAACGCACACUAGUGGCAAAGUGCCAACUUAAGCAGUAGCUCAACAGGUUGAGCGGGUUGCCCAGUAAUUGAAAGGUUGCAGGUUCAAUCCUGGCUCCGGACAGAGAAUUCUGCUGUCUUGUCCUUGGGCAAGACACUUAUCCCACCUUGCCUGCUGGUGGUGGUCGGAGGGACCGGUGGCGCCUGUGCUCGGCAGCCUCGCCUCUGCCAGUGCGCCCCAGGGCAGCUGUGGCUACAUCGUAGCUCAUCACCAUCCGUGUGUGUAUGUGUGUGUGAAUGGAUGAAUGAUACACUGUAGUGUAAAGCGCUUUGGAGUCCUUACUCUGAGAGGCGCUAUACAAGUGCGGGUCAUUUAUCAUUUAUCAUUACGCAGAGAAGGGACAUCCCCUUCAAGCACGUUAACGUGACGUUUAACAGCGCCAAUGUCAGUGGAAUUAAUGGGUAAGAAAGCCAAGUUACAGACAGAAAAAAAUUGCACCAGCAAUGGAAAAGAGCUCUGGAAGGAAACCCAUCUCCCUACAGUUGGCACAAGAAAUGUCAGCAAUUAUGUUACAAAUCCUAAAUCUUAUUAUUCUAUAAGCAACUUAAUGAUGUUUGUGUUUUUGUCAUCACAGAUUUGUCAACAAAAUGACAGGAAAUCAGUGAACCUUUAUGCAUGAAGAACAGAAAUGUAUAAUAGGAAAUCCAUCACAUGUCUUCAGUUUUGAAGGUGACUGAUGGAUACUUUAAUCUUCCUGAAACACGGGCUUGUUUCUAUCAGAUGGUUAAAAUCAAGUUGAAACUGAUACAAAAACACGUCCCAAAAAGAGAAAAUUGGUCUUUUCUGAUUAAAUAUUUUUUCUCUAUUUUGCACGAUGCUACUGUACAAACAGCUCCUUCACUAAAGCUGAAGAUGGCAUCUGUGCGGUGGUUACAGCUACAUUUUUAUGUACAAUGAUGAGUCAGGGAGACAAUUAGAAGUGACUUGAACGUUUCUUCUAAAGGCUGCUGUUGUAGUAGGUCUGCAUGAGGCAGCCUGGCUGCCACUUGUUUUUAUCCUUUUGACAAUAAGAUGUGAGCACAGCACAGCACUCUGGGCCCCAUGGCGGUUCCACUGCGGGGUUCCACUAGGGCUCAGUCCCCUCUAUAGCAAAGUUGUCCAAAAAGUCACCAGAUGUGUUUUAAAUUCAUUAACAUGAACUAUAUUUAAAUGUUUUCUGGCUUUAAAACUAAUAUUUUAUUAAUAUUCAUGUAAUUAUGUUACAUUUUAGAGUGAAAUAGUGAAUUGCCAUUUUGCAAGUACUAAAAGUGAAGUAAACUUUUCUAACCAAGCUUAACUCAUUCACUGCCAGCCGUUUCCUGAUCAGAAAAGCCCUUCACUGCCAGCAUUUUUCAGUGUUUUCACUCAUUUUUUUAAGAGUCACAGAACGUUGCGCACUAUGACGAUGUCAACGCCAAAACUAACAAAACUAAGAGUAGACUUAAUUCUUGCAUCAGGAAGAAUCUGCACAUUUCGAGCGUUAUCCGUUCUUUCAUAAUCCGUUGUCGAAUUGUGAUCGGCAGAAGCUUUUCCGGUUCGUACCUCACUUUUUUUUACAGCAGCAGCCCAAAACGAUCUCCUAACACAUGGUUUUCUGCUUCCUGAUCACGUGACAUGUGUGAUGUAUGAUGUAUGUGCCUCUUUCCUCUGUUCUAAAUGACUUGGACAUGUCUUUAAAAGCACAACAAGUAGAAGCGCUAAAAGUAUUUCCUCUAAAGAAAGAUGUUUGCACUGUCGCCAGACGCCAUUUCUGACUACAGCUAAAAAACUAAAGUGUUGCGCAGUUCAGUCUGCAUUUUCGUCUUUUUUCUGAUUGGUUAUUUUUGAGCUGGCUAGUCCCGCCCCUCAUCUGCCUCUUUGCCUGUGAGUAACCAGACUCUUUCUCUGUGCAGAAUUAAACAGAGGAUGAGUCUGGCAGGCCAGGCUAGCAUCAGUUAAAAAGCUUUUAACUGGUACUCUUCUGUUUAAUUUCAAAAAUCUUUACAGAUGAGAAAUUAAUGACAAUUCGAUGCAUUCCUACAUUCCUAUUUAAUGUUCAUGCACAGGAAACGUGAGGAAACCUCACUUCUUACCUUCUCUAUUUCAAAAGAAAAUAAAAAUUAACAUUAAUAUUUUGUGGUAUAUAAUAAAAUGACUGUCUUUUUUACUGUCUUUAUCUGGCCUCACCUUCUGUGAUUUCCUGCACCCUUUCUUUCCUCUGGUUUCUUUUCUUAACUUUUCUAUAUCUACCGGGAUGAUUUAAAUAAAAACAGAUGUUGUACAUUUUUUUUAUCACCUAAACAAACACCUGCAUGUGUGGAAAGCUGUAUUUUAGACACUAGCUGUUAUGGGAAACAUCUUUUUUAUUCAGAAGAUGCUUUUGUAACAUUUUGUAAUUGGUUGCUUUUAAUUAAGUGUCAAUAAACUAUAAAGGUAUUCAAUAAAAUGGAAUAUUCCAUAAACUGUGGAUUAUAACUAUUAUUGAACCUUUAAUAUAUCCAAAGCAACUUAGUUUUAAAACUAAUUUGCAUUUUUUUAAAUCUGUGGAAGGAAACUGGUGUUCCCAUGCACGAGGAAAACAUGCAAGCUCCAUGAGGAGAGGCCAGGUGAAUUUUGAACCUGCAACCUUCUGGCUGCGAGACUUACGUAUAAUACCAAAUGCAAUCAUGUAUGUGGUCUUAUGAAUCUUAUGCUAGAUGAAGCAGACAUAUUUAGUUAAAAUGAAAGACAAAAGUCUAAGAAAUGCAUCUUUUCACUUGCUAUUUAUUAGGGCUGGGCGUUUUGGCCUAAAAUCAGUAUCACAAUCUAUUGAGGAGUUCACCUCGAUAACAAUAGUUGAACGAAUGCUAUCUGUAUGAGCAAAAACAAAAGUUGCCCACUAGAUGGGGCUGCCACAUGUUUUACAUUGAUUGACAUAGUCAUGUGACAUGGACAUCGCCAAGAUACACACAUCUUUUCAUUUUUUAUAUUGAAUUUAUUAACAUGGGAAAAAUGAAAUCGGUUUGAGUCAGAAAUUUUGAUCACAAAAUAUUUUCGAUAUAUUGCCCAGCCUACUAUUUAUUUAUACUUUUAUUACAGCUAUUUUUCAUGUUAGAUUAUUAUUUUUUUUUUUUCUCCUUGCCCUGUCUGGCUGUGAAGCAAACAGAAUUGAUGUCUGAAUGUUGGUGACAAGGUUUACCCACAGGUGGAGCAUAGUGCUUCAUGGUAAGAUUCUGAAAUUUGCAUAAAUUAAAGUGUUGCUAUAGAUAAAAACUACAGCAUUAAGAGCCUGGAUUCAUGAUCAUUUUUAUUACAUUGAAACCUAAUGAGCCACAGGUGUGUGUGUGUGUGUGUGUGUGUGUGUGUGUGUGUGUGUGUGUGUGUAUGGUUGUGUGUACAAGAAUGCUGUCAGCCAAAAAAAUAAUAAAGCAACAUUGAAAUUCCUUGUGCUUUUGAUCUUUUAUCCAAUUAGGAGCCAUCUCUCCUCACAUCCUCAUCAUUGCUCCUCCUCCACUUUUGUCAAAGUUAUUUCACAAAACAAGGUUGAGAAAUCUUCAAAAGACUCACUGUCUUGUUUUUUUAACCUUAUUGGUGCUUUUAAAGUGCAGAGAGGAACACAAGAGGUGCCAAGAUGAAGGAAAAACACACAUUAGACAGCCUGAAGCUUCCUGCAUGUGUUUAAAACUUAAAACUGUUCUUUUAAAGGCGACAUUUAUAUUUAAUUAUGUUCUUAUUUUUUCCCUAUGUUAAAAAAAAACACAAAAUCAUCUGCAACAUAAACUGGACAUCAGUAACUCGUACGUGUUUAGGCUAGUUUUCUAAUCACUUUAGUAAGUCAGUGAGGAUUUCAACAUCUAGAUUUCACCUAUUUGGUUUAUAAACAAUGUUUUUACCAACAGCCAUCCUGAAUGCACAUGGCCAUAGCCAUAGAUACAAGUUGGGGAUCUUAAAAGAGCCAACAAUGUAUUAUUAUUUCAGAAGAAAACAGUUUUUAAGGCACAUUGAGGAAGAAAAUGAUUUGAACACCUUGUAAUUUAGCGCAUUUAAAUAAUGUAUUUAUUUAUUAAUUCAUUGCCCUGCUGUACACGGAUAUUUGGACACCUGAGAAAAGACAGACAGAUAAAUAAUAAAAAAAAAAUCACAAAAUGCGAUUUCCAUUUUUAAAAGUUUUUAAUGCUGUCCUUCACAGAGGGAAUGCAUCUACAAUGUGAAUUUCAGGCUCCUUCCAUGAUUUCUAAGUAGGAGAGAAACACGGUGGCGGAGAAGCGUCCCUGCUGGGAAAAACCAGCAUAGACCUGCAGUUGGUAACCAGCAUACAGUGGGUGUGGAAAGUAUUCAGACCCCAGUCAAUUUUUCACCAUUUGUUAUAUUGCAGCCAUUUGCAAAAAUCUUUUUUCCCUCAUUAAUGUACACACAGCACCCCAUGUUGACAGAAAAACACAGAAUUUUAGAAAUAUAUGCAGCGUUAUUAAAAAGACAAACCACAAUGGCUUUAAGUGUUCAGACCCUUUGCUGUGACACUCAUCAUAUUCGUCUGAUCAUCCUUGAGAUGGUCUCACACCUUCAUUGGAGUCCAGCUGUGAUUGAUUAUACCGAUUGGACUUGAUUAGGAAAGCCACACACCUGUCUAUAUAGGACCUUACAGCCAGUGUUGGGAAAGUUCGUUUAAAAAACAAACUAGUUCAAAGUUCCGUUCAUACAUUUUAAAACAAACUAGUUUGUUUCUUAGUUCGUAAUUUAAAACAUUUUGAACUAAAUUCACUGUUCCAAAAACAAACUAGUUCAUAGUUCUAUUUUCUCACACACACACACACACACACACACACACACACACACACACACACACACACACACACACACACACACACACACACACACACACACACACACACACACACACAAACAUAUAACUUAUUAAAUCAUUUUCCAAUAGUUCAGUCCACACUCAUUGCCAGCUGCAAAACAUUAAAAAAAUGUAUAAUCUUUCAGUUUAGUCCCUUUUCAAUUUUUCUCAAUGAGCUUUGACUCCUGCACACAGCAUAGAUGUAGAAGAGUAGACGCUGCACCAACCGCUACUGCCUAUGUUUGGCCGCAUUUGCGGGUUCUACUUUUUAUGAACUCCAUGGUUAACAGGAUGUUUUAGCUAGGCUUUAGCUCCGGAAAAGGUCCGUGGAGAUCUAGAGCUGGAACGGCGAAAGAACGCGUUCAUAAACCUGUUUACGCACGCCAGGGCAAACUCACUCACUUUUACGUUCGUCAUGCAAAAUACGAACGAGUUCAGUUCACGUUCACGAAAAAAAACAAAUUCACGAACGAUUGUUCAAUGAAUGCGUUUGGGCACAACACGGCUUACAGCUCACAAUGCAUGUCAGAGCAAAUGAGAAUCAUGAGGUCAAAUUAACUGGCUGAAAAGCUCAGAGACAGAGUUGUGGCAAGGCAAAGAUCUAACCUAGGUUAAAAAAACUUCUCUGCUGCACUUAAGGCUCCUAAGAGUACAAUGGCCACCAUGAUCCUUAAAUGGAAGACGUUUAGGAUGACUAGAACCCUUCCUAGAGCAGGCUGUCUGGCCAAACUGAGCUACCAGGGGAGAAGAGCCUUGGUGAGAGAGGUAAAGAAGAAUCCAAAGUCAGAGCCCUCAGGGAAUGGGAGAAAGUUGCAGAAGGUCAACCAUUACUGCAGCCCUCCACCAGUCAGGGUUUUAUAGCAGAGCGGCCCAUUGGAAGCCUGUCCUCAGUGCAAGACACAUGAAGGCCCACAUGGAGUUUGCUAGAAGACUCCUGAAGAACCCUGAGAUGGUAAGAAAUGAGAUUCUCUGGUCUGAGACCAAGAUAAAACAUUUUGGCCUCAAUUCUAAGCAGUUUGUGUGGAGAAAACCAGACACUGCUCAUUACUUGUCCACAGCCAUCCCCAAAGUGAAGCAUGGUGGUGGCAGCAUCAUUCUGUGGGGAUGUUUUUCAGCUGCAGGGACAGGAUGACUGGUUGCAAUUGAGGGGACGAUGAAUGCAGCCAAGUACAGGGAUAUCCUGGACAAGAGCCUUCUCCUGCGUGCUCAGGACCUCAGACUGGGCCAAAGGUUUACCUUCCAACAUAACAAUGACUCAAAGCAUGGCCCAGCCAGAGCCCUGACUUAAACUGAAUUGAGCAUCUCUAGAGAAACCUAAAAAUGGCUGUCCACUAACGUUCACCAUCAGCCUGACAGAACUGGAGAGGAUCUGGAAGGAGGAAUGACAGAGGAUUCCCAAAUCCAGGUGUAAGAAAAUUGUUGCAUCUUUACCAAGAAGACUUGUGGCUUUAUUAGCUCAAAAGAUGCUUCUACUGAGCAAAAGGUCAGAAUACUUAGGACCAUGAUAUAUUUCAGUUUCUUUUUUAAUAACUAGCAGAAAUUUCUAAAAUUCUGUCAAUACGGGGUGCUGUGUGUACGUUAAUGAGGGAAAAAAUUAAUUUAAUUGAAUUUAGCGAAUGGUUGCAAUAAAAGGGAGUGAAAAAUUGACUGUGGCCUGAAUGCUUUCCGCACCCACUGUAUGCUGUGUUUUGAUGCUGGUUUAGCUUAUGGACCAGCAUUGCAUGCUGAUUCAACAUGGGAUGCUGGUCAAGCGUGCUGGGUCAGCAUCCAGUCAUUAGCAUUACAUGCUGGACCAACAUACCGGCAUCAAAACACAACACAUGCUGUUUUUCCAGAAGGGGUGAAGUAUGCUUUCGUCACCUCGCUUUCUGAUUGGAUAGAUGUUCGUUUCAGCAGGCAGCACGUUAGUUUGACCCCAAAAAUCAGACCAGGCCAAUCGAAAAUGUUUGAUCAUAAAUCCGGGCUUUCAGAGUGGUCCCAACAGCCAUUUAGAGGUCUUUGAACACACCACACAAGAUAGGAUUGUCUGAUAAGAUAAACUUUAGAGCUAUUCUUGGACAACUUUAAUAUUUUCAGAAGGGGCAUGGCUGGUCAAAAAAAUGGCAUGAUUAUCUUGCUGUGUGAACCGUGCUUCUGAAGAAUCUUCAACAUCACUACCAUGUCUUCCACUGUCUCACCCAUUAAUGGAUGUUUGAUAGUUUUUUUUUUUUACAUUUUCUAUGAAAAAGCAGGAAAUCAGGUGGUCUUCUCUUUUGGCUUUCCCUUUCAGGGGUCAUCUGUCCCCAUUCUAAAAAUUAUAGCUCAUUCGAUUGUGUUGAGUCUGUAUUUUUGUCUAAUUAUGUUGUGUUCCUGUUGUUUGCCCUUCCAGUAUCAUUUGUAAUCAGAAUAUUUUUGGCCUCUGUAUUCGUCUGGUAUUGUCUUACAGCCUGUUCUUUUCUGGGGCUUCAGUCUGACUCGUCUCAGUGAUGAGCUGUUUUGGUGACGGCUUUUGUUAAGGUGGCACAAACUGUAAAUCUGCAAAUCGUGAAUACAAAACCAUGUCCAAACAUGUAAGCAGCUUUAUUAAAUUAAAAACAAGAGAAUCCCCCAGUGUUGUUAGCUACCGUGGCCUUGCAAAUAAAUACAAAUUCCCCUGUGGUCAUAAUAAUGUGACAGUUUUUGAGAUGUUGUCUUUGCAGAAAAAGAAAGAGAGUAAAGAAAAGUGAAAAGUUUCAGAUAUAAUUAAUUCUUAGAGGUAGUUUGUGAAGGAAAACAACCCACAAAAUAAUAAACUAUGAAUAUGUCACAAGCUAAACCAUGUAAAAAACACCACAGUCAAUUAAGAAACACAGAUGUCCACUUCUUGUGUUUCAGCUGGCUGCUUGUUUCUUCUUUAAGCCGCGUUUGGAUCUAAUUCUUCAUGCUGGAAAUGCAUUUGGGGUCUUGUGUUCUCACCAGCUAAGGCAGUAUUUGAUGCAUUCUCAGCUGGCAAAUAAUUCACUGGAACCCAUAUAGCCAGACAGUGAGAGAUGGUCAUUUUAAAAUCUGAAAUGUGGCUGGGUUGCAGGAAAGGUACACCUUCACAGGAUUUUGCAUGUCAGCCCUUUUCUGAACAUUUUGCUUUCCAUAAAAAUAAAAGUAAGCGCCUUGAGGUUUCUUCAGAGAGGAGAUGUCAGCCGUGUGAUGUUUGUGGUUGCCUGUUGCAGGCUUCUGUUUGAACGUUACAAGGUGCCAAAGUGUCUGACAGGUACAUGCUGCUGAAUGGGAGAAUAACCUGAAAGUUCAUGAUCGGCCAGUCCUGAGUGCAGCCGCGAGUCACUCGACUGUCUAAAACUUAUCCUAUAUUCCCCUUGGUCGGG